RNAcentral lists this long non-coding RNA (2008 nucleotides) under Olea europaea subsp. europaea. Lineage: Eukaryota; Viridiplantae; Streptophyta; Magnoliopsida; Lamiales; Oleaceae. The record is from RNAcentral.
UUUCUCUCCUGUAGUCAAAUACACUUCUAUAAGGAUUCUACUUGCUCUUGUUUCACAUUUUAAUUUUGAAUUAGAACAAUUAGAUGUGAAAACAGCUUUUCUUUAUGGAAAUUUAGACGAAAAGAUCUAUAUGACCCAACCUAGAGGUUUUGAAUAGGAAGGCUAAGAAAACUGUGUUUGCCUUUUGCAGAAGUCUCUCUAUGACUUGAAACAAGCCCCCAGGCAAUGGUACAUCAGGUUUGAUACUUUCAUUAAAUGUUUUGAAUUUAAUAGAAGUGAAUAUGAUCAUUGUUUUUAUUAUAAAGGAAAUGGAGAGCCUAAAUCUUAUUAUCUCUUGUUGUAUGUUGAUGAUAACAACUUGCUGGAUAUGAUUCAACUGAGAUAAACAAUAUUAAACACAAAUUAAAACAAGAAAUUGAAAUGAAAGAUUUAGGCUUUGCCAAGAGAAUCUUAGGAAUGCAAAUUAGGAAAAAUAGAAAUAAUCACAAUCUGUUCCUUACUCAACAAUCCUAUAUUUCAAAAAUCUUAUAUAAAUAUUCUAUGAGUGAAGCCAAAGAAGUCUCUUUACCCUUAGGCAGCUAUUUUAAAUUUUCUACAGAGCAGUGUCCUAAAACUGAAAUAGAAAGAAAUAGAAUGGAAUAGGUGCCUUAUGCAAAUGCAGUCGGAUCUAUUAUGUAUAUCAUGGUCUGGUACACCUGAUCUUGCCUUUGCUAUUAGUGUCUUAAGUAGAUACAUGAGUAAUCCAGGUGAAUAUCAUUGGGAAGCAAUGAAAUGGUUGUUAAGGUAUUUAAAAGGAACAUCACACUUAGGAUUAAUGUUUGGUAAAGGUAAAACAAAGUUAAAACUCAAAGGUUAUGUUGAUUCAGAUUUUGCUGGUAACUGUGACAAUAGAGAAUCAACAUCUGCAUAUGUCUUUACUCUAAAUGAUAGCUGCAUAAGUUGGAAAUCACAGCUGCAAAAAUUGGUUGCCUUGUCAUCAACAGAGGAAGAAUAUAUUGCAGCUACAGAUGCUGUAAAGGAAGGAAUCUGGGUGAAAAGUUUGUUAAAUGAUAACAAUGCUACUAUAUUUUCUGACAGUCAAUCAGCUAUACAUCUUAGUAGAAAUCUAAUCUUUCAUGAUAGAACUAAACAUAUAGAUGUGAAAUUUCAUUUCAUAAGGGAUAUCAUAGAAAAAAAUCAUAAAAAUUGAUAAGAUUUCCACUAAGUGUAAUCUAGUUGAUAUGGGAACAAAGAUACUUCCUUUACAUAAAUUUAGGAAUUGCUUAAAUCUCCUAAAUAUUAUUACUAACUAAAGUUUUUUUUUUUUGGUAGGAAAUAAGAGCAAAUGAAAUCUAAAGAAAGUGUUAUUCUCUAAUCCACUUGAAACCCAAAAUGUCAAGCAAGGUGGAGAAUGUUAGAUGUUAUGCUCGACAUUUUUGGAGCCCAAUGAUGCAGCCCAAAAAGGAGUGGCCCUUUUAACUGAAUGUGACCCGGUUUGCCCCCACUUGUGCAGUCUCGUGUUUCUCUUGUAAAUGCGACUUUAGUUUGUUUUAAUUGGAUGGAUCAGAUGAUGCCAGGUGGAGUCGGCUGAACCGUUGGAUGCAAAUGAUUUUUCAUUUACCUUGCCCUAGACUCUUCACUUGCCUGACUAUUCGAGAGACUUCUUGGGUCUUCGUUCUCUGUUCAUCUCUUCUCUGAAAACUCUUGGUUUUCGUCUGUAAUCUCUUGGUUUCUAGGUGUUCUUGAUAAGAUCUAGUAUAGAUUACAGUAUUCAUGUGAUGAUUCUACUUACUGAUUGAGUGUUUGGUGCUGAUCACUUUGGUGUAAUCUGUGUGAGUGAGAAUCUGAAACUUUUCAGAGUCUAAGGGCUAGAUCUUUUAAGAUCUAUCGUGUUGUAAUCCUUAAACACUUGAUAUUUUGUUGGUUCUAGUGGAUUGGAGCGAUAACCACUUAAAGUGGAUGCUCAACGUGGUGAUUAGCCUUUUGUGGGUGAACAUCCGGGUCUAAGGGCGAAAAAUCUUUGGUGUUC